GGCUGGAUUAUUUUCAUUUGGAAUUGGAUCAUUCUUACCAAUACCUGAUGCGAAACAGACCCGAAAUGUGGCAGAUGAAGAUCGUUAUGCUGAAAUAUCAGGACAUCGUGUCUCGCGUGGAUGGUUUAGACCUCGACCUUGGGAAUAUUGAAAAUAUGGCGAUUAAUUUUUCAAACCAAUUCAAUAUGUUUAUUGGACGCAUUUGAAUUAUGCAAAUAUCUGUAAUCUAUGCUUUCACCCAAGUUUAAUAAAUCCAGGAUUUUCCAGGAUCCAGGAUUUUGUACAACCAGGAUUUUCAUAUAGCGUUCGUUCCUAAUGACAGAAGUAAAAUAUGGUUACGAGUUACACCAUUAAAUCACCAGCAAAACUUUUGAUAAUUGAUUAUCUUUUUUUACACUCAAGUUCUAACAAGAUUAAACUUAAUUGGUUUCAUGUGUAAUUAUAGGUUGGUCAAUUAAUACGAUGCCGGGUCCUGCACAUAUGUAUAUUGUGUCAUAGUUCGAAAAUAAUUACAAACACUACAAGCGACGUCAAUAUGAUAGUAGAUAAAUGUGUACAACAUGACAUUUCAAUUAUGGGCGUGGACACCAAUUCUAAUAAAAAGCAUUGGCAAUUCGUUGAAUUAAAGCAGUUGUGAUUUUUGCAGAAUUGUAGAAUAAUAAACCGGUGAAUUUUUUCUCUGAAAAAUAACUAAAUUCAUCCAUACUAAGAAUGAAAUCCUUGAUUUUAUGGGUUUUGGUCAUCGGACUUGUCUGCGCUGCAGCCUCGCCAGCUGAGAACGAAAAAAAUUGCUGCCCCUGCGGAUGCGAACCAGGUGCUGAAUGCAGCAUUCGUUGCUGCAUGAAGGAAGGACACUUGUUUGGCGUGGGUCAACCAAAGUGUUGUCUUUGUAAUCCGUGCGAUCCAAACUCGGAGUGUCACAUUCGAUGUUGCUGAUUAUCCAUGGAAAAUAUAUGGUUCACACCUUUCAAAAAUCUACCUUCCUUGAUAAAUAUAAUAAUUAUACAUACAAAAGUAUAACUUUUAUUUAAUCAAUGUCCUGUAAAUAAAAUCGUAUGCACAUA
Molecule: long non-coding RNA, 1064 nt
Organism: Folsomia candida
Lineage: Eukaryota; Metazoa; Arthropoda; Collembola; Entomobryomorpha; Isotomidae
Exons: 3
Source: RefSeq, a predicted model, not a curated record